GUCCCCGCUAUGUGAACUUCCACCGAAAUUACCUGGGUUUGGAGAUUACUCUGCAAUAGGACAAGAGUAAAAUGUUCUUAACGACCUUUUUCCUGCCUAUUGAUAGCUUUAUGGCCAAAGUUUCAUGGUUUACCUAUUCUGCACUGUUUGCUGGCACGUUGGUAGACCUUAACCCUUGUCUUGGUUAGUAUUACGGCCUAUGGAAUCUUGUGGAGUUGGCAUAAGGCAGAUUGCACCAUUUGAUCAUGGGCAAGUUUUGCUCAGUUGUUUCUACGUUUUCAGUGUCAGGUGAACUCUAAUUGAUUAUAAUGUUCUUAAUCUAAUUUCGUGGGAAAUUAACUUGUGAGUAUUUAAUAUUAUUUUGUUAUUAUUGAAUUGAAAAUUGUAUGGUUGGUCUUUUGGAAAGUAUCUGGUUCUUGGUAGAAUGUGGUAAAUAGUUUUUGAAAAUGCAGCUUCUCGUGGUCCC
RNAcentral lists this long non-coding RNA (466 nucleotides) under Olea europaea (common olive). RNAcentral describes it as "long non-coding RNA (OEUR_LNC012497)". The record is from RNAcentral. Lineage: Eukaryota; Viridiplantae; Streptophyta; Magnoliopsida; Lamiales; Oleaceae.